GGGUAGUCCUAGCCGUAAACGAUGCCCACUAGGUGUGGGGGAAUAAUUCCUCCGUGCUGCAGCUAACGCGUUAAGUGGGCCGCCUGGGGAGUAUGCCCGCAAGGGUGAAACUCAAAGGAAUUGACGGGACCCCGCACAAGCGGUGGAGCGUGUGGUUUAAUUGGACGCUAAGCCAAGAACCUUACCAGGGCUUGACAUGCUGGUGGUACCGACCCGAAAGGGGAGGGGCUCACGUCGUAAGGCGUGGGAGCCAGCACAGGUGGUGCACGGUCGUCGUCAGCUCGUGCCGUGAGGUGUUGGGUUAAGUCCCGCAACGAGCGCAACCCCUGCUCUUAGUUGCCAGCGGUUCGGCCGGGCACUCUAAGAGGACUGCCGGCGACGAGCCGGAGGAAGGAGGGGAUGACGUCAGAUACUCGUGCCCUUAUGCCCUGGGCGACACACGCGCUACAAUGGGGUGGGGACAGCGGGGUUGCGACCCCAGCGAUGGGGGAGCUAAUCCCUUAAACCCACCCUCAGUUCGGAUUGCAGGCUGAAACCCGCCU
This 542-nucleotide ribosomal RNA is filed under the name uncultured prokaryote. RNAcentral describes it as "bacterial SSU rRNA". It matches the Rfam family "Bacterial small subunit ribosomal RNA", at positions 788 to 1317 of the family's 1533-position model. The record is from RNAcentral.